This 692-nucleotide ribosomal RNA is filed under the name uncultured Mycobacterium sp. Its description in RNAcentral is "bacterial SSU rRNA". It matches the Rfam family "Bacterial small subunit ribosomal RNA", at positions 46 to 755 of the family's 1533-position model. Lineage: Bacteria; Bacillati; Actinomycetota; Actinomycetes; Mycobacteriales; Mycobacteriaceae. The record is from RNAcentral.
GCUUAACACAUGCAAGUCGAACGGAAAGGCCCUUCGGGGUACUCGAGUGGCGACCGGGUGAGUAACACGUGGGUGAUCUGCCCUGCACUUUGGGAUAAGCCUGGGAAACUGGGUCUAAUACCGAAUAUGAUCAUGCACCUCCUGGUGUGUGGUGGAAAGCUUUUGCGGUGUGGGAUGGGCCCGCGGCCUAUCAGCUUGUUGGUGGGGUAAUGGCCUACCAAGGCGACGACGGGUAGCCGGCCUGAGAGGGUGACCGGCCACACUGGGACUGAGAUACGGCCCAGACUCCUACGGGAGGCAGCAGUGGGGAAUAUUGCACAAUGGGCGCAAGCCUGAUGCAGCGACGCCGCGUGAGGGAUGACGGCCUUCGGGUUGUAAACCUCUUUCAGCACAGACGAAGCGCAAGUGACGGUAUGUGCAGAAGAAGGACCGGCCAACUACGUGCCAGCAGCCGCGGUAAUACGUAGGGUCCGAGCGUUGUCCGGAAUUACUGGGCGUAAAGAGCUCGUAGGUGGUUUGUCGCGUUGUUCGUGAAAACUCACAGCUUAACUGUGGGCGUGCGGGCGAUACGGGCAGACUUGAGUACUGCAGGGGAGACUGGAAUUCCUGGUGUAGCGGUGGAAUGCGCAGAUAUCAGGAGGAACACCGGUGGCGAAGGCGGGUCUCUGGGCAGUAACUGACGCUGAGGAGCG